AAAAAGUUGAACAGAAACCAUGAUAUACAUAAAAUUUGAACUAUAUUAAUGUCAACAUAAAUUAUCAAAGGCAGGCAAAAAUUUUCAUGCAAGGUGAGUGAUGAUACUGACAAUUAGAUGCAUAUAGUGCACCCAAAACUUAAAUAUUCCCUAGUUAGAUUAUGAACUGAUUGAGUUCGUAUAAAACUAAUGGACUGCUCAUGACCAUGUUCUUCCUAAGAUAUAAAAACAAUUUCUCAACAACUACAAUAUCUUGUUUCACCACUGCCAUUAAUUCUCCAUUAAACAUCAAUGGCAACUAAAGGACAGAAAUU
This 314-nucleotide unclassified non-coding RNA is filed under the name Hevea brasiliensis (rubber tree). Lineage: Eukaryota; Viridiplantae; Streptophyta; Magnoliopsida; Malpighiales; Euphorbiaceae. The record is from RNAcentral.